This 253-nucleotide ribosomal RNA is filed under the name uncultured bacterium. RNAcentral's name for it is "partial 16S ribosomal RNA". It matches the Rfam family "Bacterial small subunit ribosomal RNA", at positions 524 to 776 of the family's 1533-position model. The record is from RNAcentral.
UACGGAGGGGGCUAGCGUUGUUCGGAAUUACUGGGCGUAAAGCGUACGUAGGCGGCUUUGUAAGUUAGAGGUGAAAGCCCGGAGCUCAACUCCGGAAUUGCCUUUAAGACUGCAUCGCUUGAAUCAUGGAGAGGUUAGUGGAAUUCCGAGUGUAGAGGUGAAAUUCGUAGAUAUUCGGAAGAACACCAGUGGCGAAGGCGACUAACUGGACAUGUAUUGACGCUGAGGUACGAAAGCGUGGGGAGCAAACAGG